This is a non-coding RNA of Halocaridina rubra (Hawaiian volcano shrimp), 73 nucleotides long. NCBI's taxonomy places the organism in Eukaryota, Metazoa, Arthropoda, Malacostraca, Decapoda, Atyidae. The record is from the annotation of a GenBank genome assembly.
ACCUUCAUUGGUGUAGUUGGUAGUGCCUUUGCUUAAUAAUUAAGUGUCUUAGGUUCGAGUCCUGGUCAGGGGA